CCUACGGGUGGCAGCAGUGGGGAAUAUUGGGCAAUGGGCGCAAGCCUGACCCAGCAACGCCGCGUGAAGGAAGAAGGCUUUCGGGUUGUAAACUUCUUUUAUCAGGGACGAAGCAAGUGACGGUACCUGAUGAAUAAGCCACGGCUAACUACGUGCCAGCAGCCGCGGUAAUACGGAGGUGGCAAGCGUUAUCCGGAUUUACUGGGUGUAAAGGGCGUGUAGGCGGGAGUGCAAGUCAGAUGUGAAAACUAUGGGCUCAACCCAUAGCCUGCAUUUGAAACUGUACUUCUUGAGUGAUGGAGAGGCAAGCGGAAUUCGGGGUGUAGCGGUGAAAUGCGUAGAUAUACGGAGGAACACCAGUGGCGAAGGCGGAUUGCUGGACAGUAACUGACGCUGAGGCGCGAAAGCGUGGGGAGCAAACAGGAUUAGAUACCCGAGUAGUC
Molecule: ribosomal RNA, 443 nt
Filed under: uncultured bacterium
Lineage: Bacteria
Description: partial 16S ribosomal RNA
Rfam family: Bacterial small subunit ribosomal RNA
Source: RNAcentral